GUACGUACAAGCAGUGGGAGCACGCUUAGGCGUGUGACUGCGUACCUUUUGUAUAAUGGGUCAGCGACUUAUAUUCUGUAGCAAGGUUAACCGAAUAGGGGAGCCGAAGGGAAACCGAGUCUUAACUGGGCGUUAAGUUGCAGGGUAUAGACCCGAAACCCGGUGAUCUAGCCAUGGGCAGGUUGAAGGUUGGGUAACACUAACUGGAGGACCGAACCGACUAAUGUUGAAAAAUUAGCGGAUGACUUGUGGCUGGGGGUGAAAGGCCAAUCAAACCGGGAGAUAGCUGGUUCUCCCCGAAAGCUAUUUAGGUAGCGCCUCGUGAAUUCAUCUCCGGGGGUAGAGCACUGUUUCGGCAAGGGGGUCAUCCCGACUUACCAACCCGAUGCAAACUGCGAAUACCGGAGAAUGUUAUCACGGGAGACACACGGCGGGUGCUAACGUCCGUCGUGAAGAGGGAAACAACCCAGACCGCCAGCUAAGGUCCCAAAGUCAUGGUUAAGUGGGAAACGAUGUGGGAAGGCCCAGACAGCCAGGAUGUUGGCUUAGAAGCAGCCAUCAUUUAAAGAAAGCGUAAUAGCUCACUGGUCGAGUCGGCCUGCGCGGAAGAUGUAACGGGGCUAAACCAUGCACCGAAGCUGCGGCAGCGACGCUGAUGCGUUGUUGGGUAGGGGAGCGUUCUGUAAGCCUGCGAAGGUGUGCUGUGAGGCAUGCUGGAGGUAUCAGAAGUGCGAAUGCUGACAUAAGUAACGAUAAAGCGGGUGAAAAGCCCGCUCGCCGGAAGACCAAGGGUUCCUGUCCAACGUUAAUCGGGGCAGGGUGAGUCGACCCCUAAGGCGAGGCCGAAAGGCGUAGUCGAUGGGAAACAGGUUAAUAUUCCUGUACUUGGUGUUACUGCGAAGGGGGGACGGAGAAGGCUAUGUUGGCCGGGCGACGGUUGUCCCGGUUUAAGCGUGUAGGCUGGUUUUCCAGGCAAAUCCGGAAAAUCAAGGCUGAGGCGUGAUGACGAGGCACUACGGUGCUGAAGCAACAAAUGCCCUGCUUCCAGGAAAAGCCUCUAAGCAUCAGGUAACAUCAAAUCGUACCCCAAACCGACACAGGUGGUCAGGUAGAGAAUACCAAGGCGCUUGAGAGAACUCGGGUGAAGGAACUAGGCAAAAUGGUGCCGUAACUUCGGGAGAAGGCACGCUGAUAUGUAGGUGAAGCGACUUGCUCGUGGAGCUGAAAUCAGUCGAAGAUACCAGCUGGCUGCAACUGUUUAUUAAAAACACAGCACUGUGCAAACACGAAAGUGGACGUAUACGGUGUGACGCCUGCCCGGUGCCGGAAGGUU
Molecule: ribosomal RNA, 1333 nt
Filed under: Escherichia coli
Lineage: Bacteria; Pseudomonadati; Pseudomonadota; Gammaproteobacteria; Enterobacterales; Enterobacteriaceae
Description: partial 23S ribosomal RNA
Rfam family: Bacterial large subunit ribosomal RNA
Source: RNAcentral